GUGUCUGUAGCCUAGUUGGUAAAGGUAGCAUUCUAUUAUGAGUCUCAAAAUUUCUGAGGUUGUGGGUUUGAUUCCCAACAGGCACA
Puccinia sorghi is the source of this 86-nucleotide transfer RNA. It matches the Rfam family "tRNA". Rfam says of the family: Transfer RNA (tRNA) molecules are approximately 80 nucleotides in length. Their secondary structure includes four short double-helical elements and three loops (D, anti-codon, and T loops). The record is from Rfam. NCBI's taxonomy places the organism in Eukaryota, Fungi, Basidiomycota, Pucciniomycetes, Pucciniales, Pucciniaceae.